CUCUCAGCAGGUAGAACUCACCUGACACCAGAGCGGAGAGAAUCAGAACAAAUCACACUGCCUGCGUCGCUCUGUUCUCUGUUUUCAUCAAGUAUCUAACUCCACAGUUAGUUUUGUGGUUCGGUCAUUUUAAGACCAGAUCUUGUUGUAUAGUUUACAGCCUGUCACUCUGUUGCUCCUGCAGUGCUCUCUGUGUGAACUGUGAGGCAGCUAAAAAAAAAGUGAAACGACUCGUCCAUUGACUCGCUGUUGUAAAAAUAAUCACAGUCAUUGUGGUUUGAAAAUCUCAUUAGCUCAAAUCACGACUUCAGUUAAAAUUCGAUAAGUCAUUCAGUCCUAAAAUAUAUAUGUAUUUUUCUCUCUUUGACCUCUUUGGGGCUCUGUAGGAAACUGAUGAAGAGUUGGACCAAAAAAAUCAAUCAAUUCCCUUAGUAAAAAUCUUAAUAAAUAUCACAUACACUGUCACUCCCUCUGUGCUGUCAUCAUUCUUUGCACUGUAGCUCAGUUUGUAUUGUUUUAGCAGAUGCUGAUAAUAACCUGAAAGAGUUUAUGGACAGCACUGUCAUACUGUGUACUUUGCUGUUGAUAUGAUUGCUGGUCAGUAUACUGUUUUCUGGUGCUUUUUAUUCAGAUUCUGGUGUUUCAGCAAACAAAUUUCAUCCUUGUGUUGAGUUGAGGACAGCACUUCACUGAUUUCAGCCUGCAAAAACACAGUGAGGGAUCUUUUAUUAACGCUGGCAUUUUGCUCAUCAGGCUCAUGAAGAUGUGCAGUGGGUCAAAGGUUUAUAAUACAGACCCACAGGAUGUAUUCUAUUCUGUUUAUAUUCUUAUUCUUGCCGGGAUGUUUAAAUGCUGGAUAUAUUGUUUUGUUCUAUUGUGCUUCUCACUAGAUAUUUCAGCCAUUUUAGAAAAAGAACAACUGCAGAGAAGAUACAACAACCUGCACAACAGCCACAGCCACUUACAGGAUGAAGUAAAGCAGCUCCAGAGACAAACUGCAGGGCUGCAAUGUCCUGAAGGAUGGAUGAAAUUUGGAUGCAGCUGUUACAACAAAUUCACUGAGAGAAAAAAAUGGGAGGAGAGCAGAACAGAUUGUCAGAAGAGAGGAGCAGAUCUGGUGAUCAUCAACAGCAAAGAGGAACAGGAGUUUAUCAGAGAGCUGAAUAAUCCUGGAGCCUCCUGGAUUGGCCUGAAGGCUGAGUACAGUCACAAACCAACAGGAUGGGAACCGAAAUGGGAAUGGGUAGAUGGAUCACCGCUGACAAUUAUGUGAGUUAUGUGAGAUC
Lates calcarifer (barramundi perch) is the source of this 1286-nucleotide long non-coding RNA. RefSeq lists it as uncharacterized. The transcript has 3 exons. The record is from RefSeq and is a predicted model, not a curated record. NCBI's taxonomy places the organism in Eukaryota, Metazoa, Chordata, Actinopteri, Centropomidae.